GAAGCAGUAGCAGAGCGCUCGCCUGAUAUGCGAGAAGGCUCGGGUUCGACUACCGGCUGCUUCG
RNAcentral lists this transfer RNA (64 nucleotides) under Toxocara canis (dog roundworm). It matches the Rfam family "tRNA". Rfam says of the family: Transfer RNA (tRNA) molecules are approximately 80 nucleotides in length. Their secondary structure includes four short double-helical elements and three loops (D, anti-codon, and T loops). The record is from Rfam by way of RNAcentral. Lineage: Eukaryota; Metazoa; Nematoda; Chromadorea; Rhabditida; Toxocaridae.